GAUGAACGCUCGCUACAGGCUUAACACAUGCAAGUCGAGGGGAAACGACAUCGAAAGCUUGCUUUUGAUGGGCGUCGACCGGCGCACGGGUGAGUAACGCGUAUCCAACCUGCCCAUCACUUGGGGAUAACCUUGCGAAAGUAAGACUAAUACCCAAUGAUAUCUCUAGAAGACAUCUGAAAGAGAUUAAAGAUUUAUCGGUGAUGGAUGGGGAUGCGUCUGAUUAGCUUGUUGGCGGGGUAACGGCCCACCAAGGCAACGAUCAGUAGGGGUUCUGAGAGGAAGGUCCCCCACAUUGGAACUGAGACACGGUCCAAACUCCUACGGGAGGCAGCAGUGAGGAAUAUUGGUCAAUGGGCGAGAGCCUGAACCAGCCAAGUAGCGUGCAGGAAGACGGCCCUAUGGGUUGUAAACUGCUUUUAUAAGGGAAUAAAGUGAGAGUCGUGACUCUUUUUGUAUGUACCUUAUGAAUAAGGACCGGCUAAUUCCGUG
This 492-nucleotide ribosomal RNA is filed under the name uncultured bacterium. Its description in RNAcentral is "partial 16S ribosomal RNA". It matches the Rfam family "Bacterial small subunit ribosomal RNA", at positions 28 to 507 of the family's 1533-position model. The record is from RNAcentral.